GCCAACACUACUAGCCAGAGCCCUCCACUCCAAUCAUUUAUAGAAAAAUGACAGUCUUUUUAACAAUUAAUUCUUAGUUCUCAUGAUACUUUCAGGAUUAUCUAAGUCAGUUGAGUGUACAGUUAUAUCUUUAGUCAUGAAAAUGUUUGAAUACAAAUUUAAUGAGUUUAUGUGAAAUGCUAAAUUUUUAUUAUUACAGCUUCUCUGCUAUAGAAGACUGAUUAUACAACAUUUUGGUUAUAUACAUACAUUUAAUUAGUACAUGACCUGUAAGGUUAGGCUUCACCCGAAAUACAUCCAGAACUAGGUGAAAAACAUACCAGAAAUUUUCAAAUGCUGGUAAGAUCAAUUUUUAUAGAACAUAUUGAUAGAAUACAAGAGUAAGUUAUUGUCAUUAAUAUUCAUUCUCUAACUCAGUAUAUAAUUACCAAGUACCUGCUCUUUGCUAUGCUCUAUUCUAGGCACCAGAGAUAAAGCUCUAAACAAAAAUAUUCCUCUCCAUAAGCCUUACACUCCAGUGGAGAAGAGGAGAAACAAAAUAAACAAAAUAUGUGCUAUAUAUUGAAAAUCUAUAUCAUAAGUGCCAUGGAGAGAAUGCAGGAAAGAACAGGAGUGCUGGUGUGAGAUUCAAGCUUAAACUCAGUUCUCAGGGAGGGCCUGCAAAGUGACAAACUUGAAGCAUGAUGUUGAGGAUAGAACCUUCCAUGAUGAUGAUUUAGAAUUCCAGAUUCUGGCAUAUGCAGAGAUGCAUAUUCAUACUCCAUGUGUAAAGGUUGAAUGGUGUAUCUCAGACUAGAAAACCUUUCUAAUGUCAGUUCCAGGGGUGAUCAAAAAGCCAGGUCAAUUUAGGACUUGAUGAAUGAGGGCCAAACUGAUAUAAGGCAAUGGAAUGACUGAAGCCCCGAGUCCAGAACCAGAAUGAAUGGACCAGAGCAAUAUUCAGGUAGUCUGGAUAACUUUGCAGACCACAGUUGCUUCACUUUUUCCCCCACUAUGUAACUUUGGUCUAAGUUCUUA
RNAcentral lists this long non-coding RNA (1017 nucleotides) under Bos taurus (domestic cattle). Its description in RNAcentral is "long non-coding RNA NONBTAT006310". Lineage: Eukaryota; Metazoa; Chordata; Mammalia; Artiodactyla; Bovidae. The record is from RNAcentral.